This 75-nucleotide transfer RNA is filed under the name Ixodes scapularis (black-legged tick). It matches the Rfam family "tRNA". Rfam says of the family: Transfer RNA (tRNA) molecules are approximately 80 nucleotides in length. Their secondary structure includes four short double-helical elements and three loops (D, anti-codon, and T loops). The record is from Rfam by way of RNAcentral. Lineage: Eukaryota; Metazoa; Arthropoda; Arachnida; Ixodida; Ixodidae.
GCAGUCAUGGCCGAGUGGUUAAGGCAAUGGACUAUAUGGGGUCUCCCCGCACAGGUUCUAAUCCUGUCGACUGCG